GCUGGGCAUGAUGGUGUGUGCCUGUAGUCCCAGCUACUUGGGGGCUGAGGCAGGAGGAUCGCUUGAGCCCGGGAGGUCAAGGCUACAGUGAGCUGUGUUCAUGCCACUAUACCCCAGCCUGGGCAACAAAGUGAGUCCCUGACUCAA
Molecule: non-coding RNA, 147 nt
Filed under: Pan troglodytes (chimpanzee)
Lineage: Eukaryota; Metazoa; Chordata; Mammalia; Primates; Hominidae
Source: Rfam by way of RNAcentral